UGACAGAAAGUUGCCGAGGACCAAAUCACUAUGCGCUCGAAGUUGUGGGGACGAAAUGGGACAAUAUCCCAAGUCCUAUGCGCUUCGUUUCAUUUGUCCAGGUCGGGGACUAAAUCAGAAAUGAAAUACAAUAAUAGGGCAAAAAAAAAAACACGAAUCAGGACCACAUUGUAAUGCGGUUCAAAAUCAAAGGGACUCGCCACAUAAAUAGCCCCAUUUUUUGUUUUAUCUCAUUUAGCCCUAGGAAACUUUAAAAGAACGCAGCCCCUUCCAUCCUCUCCCCCUCUUUCUUGCGACUAGAGUCUCAAAGCCCUCAUGGCCGCCGUUGCCAUGGUACCACCGCAGGUGGUGGUCGAUGACUCGAGGAGAAGGGUUUGUUCGACCCCUUUUGGAUCCAUAUUCGGGGAUCUAGUAUUUCCUCCAUGAGAAAUCGAAAUGGAAGCCCCCCAUCUUCGUUGGAUUCGGUUCAAACGGAGAAGAACUCCGACAGUGCCGACGGUUCAAGAUUUAGGUAACAGCUUUCUCUCUUCCUUUUCUUCUUUUUCGUUUUAAAACAGAUUUUUUGUAAAGAAAAUAAAAAAAAAAUAAAACAGAAGAUGUAUAUACAAAUAAAGAAACGGAAAUGAAGGGACGCAAGAAUGAAUUUCAACCCCUUUUUUUUCUGAUUGCUUGAAUCCUGGUACAAAACUUUUGUUCUUUUUAUUUCUUUUUUCCCUUUUUUAGAAUACCAUCGGUUCCCCCUAAAAUACAAUCGAUUCCCCCUUUGAAAUAUCAAAAAUCCUCCCCCCAUUAAUACCUUCGUUUCUUCUCGGCUUUAUAGUAGGUUACAAUAUUAGGAAAAUAUUAUUUAUUUUUGUCAUUUUCGUUUGUCUGCUUCUGUCUUGGUGUCUGCUUCAUUUUGCAGGUGUCAGAUGACCCUCAGAGGCGUGCGGGGUGGCGAUGACAGAGGCGUGGUGGCCGAGCACGCGUGGGGAGGCCAAUGGUUCGGCGGCCACAUGCUUGGGGCUAGGGUUUUUUACUUGUUUAGCAGAAAAUAUUUUGUGGGCUAAGUUUUUAUGUUUAUUGGGCUUAUUGGGCUUGCAACUAGGUAAUGGGUUUUGUCAUUGUUUUAUUUGGUUUUUGAGCCUCGGGCAAAAUUUGGGCCAUACAAUCAUUUAAUUAAUCGUGUUUGUUUUUUUUGGUUCAGUUCUAUUAAUUGUCAGUUAAACCUAAUCGUAAGUCGAACCACUUGCCUAGCCCCGAAGGCUCACCUAAAAAGUGGAAGGAUUUGGGAAAAUAUAUAGGCCCGGAAAAUGCGCUUAAACAAAAAAUAAGGUCCGUUUUCUAAACAAGUCAGGCCUAGGGUAAGAUUUUUUUGGCUUAAGCCGGUCCGAAAUUACUUAAUUUUUUUUACUGUUAUUUUGCUAUCCUUUGUUGUUAUUUGCUGUCAUUUUGAUGUUGUUUUGCUACCAUUUUGUUAUUAGUGUUUAGAUAUUGUAUAAUUCUUGCACUACAGGAAAAUAGGGCUUUAGCGGCGUUUUAUCAAAAAACGCCGCAAAAAUUGUAAAACACAGAGCAAUAGCCGCUAAAAACUGAGCAAUAGCGGCGCUUUUGGUAAAACGCCGCUAAAAGACAGAGCUUUAGCGGCGUUUUUGGUAAAACAGACAGAGAUUUAGCGGCGCUUUUGGUAAAACGCCGCUAAAAGACAGCACAUUAGCGAUGCUUUUAGUAAAACGUCGCUAAAAGACAGAGCAGUAGCGGCGCUUUUAGUAAAACGCCGCUAAAAGACAGAGCAUUAGCGGCGCUUUUGGUAAAACGCCGCUAAAAGUCAUAUAACUCUUAAAAUCUUAAACCCCAAAAAAAUCAUAAGCACUGCUUUAUAACCCCUAAAAUA
RNAcentral lists this long non-coding RNA (1873 nucleotides) under Gossypium barbadense (sea-island cotton). RNAcentral's name for it is "long non-coding RNA (GBAR_LNC007785)". The record is from RNAcentral. Lineage: Eukaryota; Viridiplantae; Streptophyta; Magnoliopsida; Malvales; Malvaceae.